Triticum aestivum (bread wheat) is the source of this 135-nucleotide non-coding RNA. The record is from Rfam. NCBI's taxonomy places the organism in Eukaryota, Viridiplantae, Streptophyta, Magnoliopsida, Poales, Poaceae.
GAAAUACUCCCUCCGUCCAGAAAUACUCGUUAUCAAAAUGGAUAAAAAAAGAUGUAGCCAGAACUAAAAUAUAUCUAGAUACAUCCACUUUUAUUCAUUUUGAUGACAAGUAUUUCCGGAUGAAGGGAGUAUAUG